RNAcentral lists this ribosomal RNA (253 nucleotides) under uncultured bacterium. RNAcentral describes it as "partial 16S ribosomal RNA". It matches the Rfam family "Bacterial small subunit ribosomal RNA", at positions 524 to 776 of the family's 1533-position model. The record is from RNAcentral.
UACGUAGGUGGCGAGCGUUGUCCGGAUUUACUGGGCGUAAAGGGAGCGUAGGCGGACUUUUAAGUGAGAUGUGAAAUACUCGGGCUCAACUUGAGUGCAGCAUUUCAAACUGGAAGUCUAGAGUGCAGGAGAGGAGAAUGGAAUUCCUAGUGUAGCGGUGAAAUGCGUAGAGAUUAGGAAGAACACCAGUGGCGAAGGCGAUUCUCUGGACUGUAACUGACGCUGAGGCUCGAAAGCGUGGGGAGCAAACAGG